RNAcentral lists this unclassified non-coding RNA (345 nucleotides) under uncultured fungus. RNAcentral describes it as "partial contains 5.8S ribosomal RNA, internal transcribed spacer 2, and large subunit ribosomal RNA". The stretch from base 1 to 52 matches the Rfam family "5.8S ribosomal RNA", at positions 103 to 154 of the family's 154-position model. Lineage: Eukaryota; Fungi. The record is from RNAcentral.
AACGCAUAUUGCGCUCUCUGGUAUUCCGGAGAGCAUGCUUGUUUGAGUAUCAGUAAACACCUCAAAUCCUUUGAUCCUUUUUAGUUCAAAGGAUUUGGACUUGAGCUGUUCCCAAUGACAGAAUUCAUUUUUUGUUUGCGGGUCGCUUGAAAUGCAGGUGCAGCUGGGCUUUCUUCUGAGCUAUAAGCAUAUCUAUUUAGUCCCUUAAAACGGAUUAUUACUUUUUGCUGCAGCUAACAUAAAGGUUGAUUGUUUCCAAAUGGCUGACUGAUGCAGGAAUUUCGUAGAUUGUAAUGAUCUGCUAAACUCGAUCUCAAAUCAAGUAAGACUACCCGCUGAACUUAA